GGAGUCACAGAGGGGAUCAGUGUUAUAGAGGGACGACAGAAACAUCAGGUGUGUUUGGAUACACGUUAAUAUUUCCAAUAAUGAUGUUCAUGGCAUUCAGAAAGGUUUUAAACAAACCACCAGGUUAACUUAUCUGGAAGAGAAACUGAAGGCAAAUGGUAAAAUUAAACCCAAACUAUCUGCCAUGAACGUCCAUCACAGUUUGCAGACUGGCUCAACAAGUACCUCGUAAAAACUGGGUUACAGGCACCGGUAAAAAUGAACUACAUGCAGGUGGGCGGCGGGUGAGAACAAGAAAAAGUCAGUGACACCAGUGUAACCUUUGACCCAGUGGUCACAUUGGUCACCGACGUGGAGGACUCCAGCCAUGAAACUGUGCAGCCCGAGGAUGAGGUGGCAGCCUACAUGGAGGUCAAGACACCCAAGGAGGAUCCUUUGGAGGUUUGAUGGUGGUGGAAGGAGCAUGCUAACAUGUUUCCUAACCUGGCAGUGAUUGAAU
Epinephelus moara (kelp grouper) is the source of this 499-nucleotide long non-coding RNA. RefSeq lists it as uncharacterized. The record is from RefSeq and is a predicted model, not a curated record. NCBI's taxonomy places the organism in Eukaryota, Metazoa, Chordata, Actinopteri, Perciformes, Serranidae. The transcript is spliced from 3 exons.